Molecule: small nuclear RNA, 105 nt
Organism: Bubalus bubalis (water buffalo)
Lineage: Eukaryota; Metazoa; Chordata; Mammalia; Artiodactyla; Bovidae
Source: RefSeq, a predicted model, not a curated record
GUGCUUGCUUCGGCAGCUCAAAUACUAAAAUUAGAAUGAUACAGAGAAGAUUAGCAUGGUCCCUGCACAAGGAUGACACAAAUUUGUGAAGCAUUCUGUAUUUUU